RNAcentral lists this ribosomal RNA (301 nucleotides) under uncultured bacterium. RNAcentral describes it as "partial 16S ribosomal RNA". It matches the Rfam family "Bacterial small subunit ribosomal RNA", at positions 509 to 807 of the family's 1533-position model. The record is from RNAcentral.
CAGCCGCCACGGGAAUACGGAGGGUGCAAGCGUUAAUCGGAAUUACUGGGCGUAAAGCGUGCGUAGGCGGUGAGUUAAGUCUGCUGUGAAAUCCCCGGGCUCAACCUGGGAAUGGCAGUGGAUACUGGCUCGCUAGAGUGUGUCAGAGGAUGGUGGAAUUCCCGGUGUAGCGGUGAAAUGCGUAGAGAUCGGGAGGAACAUCAGUGGCGAAGGCGGCCAUCUGGGACAACACUGACGCUGAGGCACGAAAGCGUGGGGAGCAAACAGGAUUAGAUACCCGCGUAGUCCCUGUCUCUUAUAC